This 1426-nucleotide long non-coding RNA is filed under the name Canis lupus familiaris (dog). RNAcentral's name for it is "lncRNA (ENSCAFG00000056294.1)". Lineage: Eukaryota; Metazoa; Chordata; Mammalia; Carnivora; Canidae. The record is from RNAcentral.
UUUUUUUUUUUUUUUUUUUUUUUUUUUUUUUUACAUUCAGACACUCUCUUCUGCUCUUAACGGAAUGAAAAUCAGAGAAAUCUUGGUAGAACAGUGACAUGAAUCAUUUAAAGAAAGAAAUAACAGGAAUACAGUAUUGGAAAGCAAAUGUCUUAGAUUGACCAAGAUGAUAAAAUAGUGGCUUAUGACUUUCCAUCCUCCCACAGAUUUGCCAAAUAUACAGCUACACAUGGAUCAUUACCCUCCGAAAGAAACCUAAAAACCAACUGAGUAACUCCUCCACAUCAGCCUACUGAAAAAACACUCACAUCAAAAUGAGUAGGAAAUACUGAGACACAGACUAUAAGCCUCACCCCUGGCACAGUGCCUGACAAUUGGGAGGGAACUCCCAACUCCCAGAGUUUCCCUGCGAGUGAAGGGUUUGGACCACACAUAUAGUGCUCCACUUUUAAGGCUACUAUUUGAAGGAUGGGUCCCCAAAUAUCCUAGCUCAGAGAGCCAACAGGGUUUGGCAUUCAUAAGUCCCAUAGGACCAUAACAAACAAAGAAGCAGCUGUUAAACAGGCACAUGAACACUCCUCCCACCUAUUCCCCAUGGCUCAGUGCAGAUGGAGCAGGCAAAGGUGCCCAUCUCCCAGUUUUUCCCUGGAAGAGAGUUUGAGUGCAGAAUUUCCCAGCUGCUGCCUGAGGGUCUGGCUUCUAAUCAGUUUGCAUCUGGGUAUUGACUGGGAUCCUCCAAGGAGACCUAAAGAGCUGGUGGGCACUUGUCCCAUAUUCCCCCUCUAACUCACUUCAAUAAUAAAAAACAAACCAAGUUGCAACCUUUUCCCUGGAAAGAAACUGUCCACACAUAAGGUGCUCCAAAUUUUGUAGUUGCCACUCAAGGAACAGGUUCUCAAGUCACCUAACUAAUAGUUACCAGGGCUUGGCAUUUACAAAUCUCAUAGGGUCAUAUUAAACAACAACAACACAACAACAACAACAACAAAAAAGUACUUUUUAAAUGGGCACACAAGCACUUUUGCAGCUCUCACUUCCCCAGCUCAGCACAGAAGGAAGAGGCAAACAUUCACCUCCCAGUUUCUCCCUAGAAGGCACUUGAUUGUGUACCUUCCUAGCUACUGUCUGAGGUUCUGGCUUCUAGUUAGGCUGCACAUGGGAGCAGGCUGGGAUCCUCUCAGGACCUGAAAGAGCUGGUGGGCAUGUCUCCUACCAUCUCCCCCCAACUUGUGCAGCAGUAAAACCAAGUCUCCAGUUUCUCCCUGGAAGGAGCAUGUCCACACAUCUAGCACCCCAAAUGUUACAGCUGUCACAUAAGGGACUGGCUCCCAAAUCAUCCAGCUCUGGGUGCUGACAGGGCUCAGCAUUCACAGGUCAUCUAGGAUUACACAAUACCAAGAGAUGGCUCUAUAUGGGUGUGCAAGCA